Molecule: ribosomal RNA, 777 nt
Filed under: uncultured archaeon
Lineage: Archaea
Description: bacterial SSU rRNA
Rfam family: Archaeal small subunit ribosomal RNA
Source: RNAcentral
GCGUAAAGCUCAGUAACACGUGGCCAAACUACCCUAUGGAUCAGAACCCUCGGGAAACUGAGGCUAAUUCUGAAUAGGGCUUGCAUCUUGGAGUAGAGCAAGUCCGAAAUGCUUCGGCGCCAUAGGAUGUGGCUGCGGCCGAUUAGGUUGACGGUGGGGUAACGGCCCACCGUGCCAAUAAUCGGUACGGGUUGUGAGAGCAAGAGCCCGGAGACGGUAUCUGAGACAAGAUACCGGGCCCUACGGGGCGCAGCAGGCGCGAAACCUUUACACUGCGCGACAGCGCGAUAAGGGGACCCCGAGUGCGAGGGCAUAUAGUCCUCGCUUUUCUGGACCGUAAGGUGGUUCAGGAAUAAGGGCUGGGCAAGACCGGUGCCAGCCGCCGCGGUAAUACCGGCAGCCCGAGUGAUGGCCGAUUUUAUUGGGCCUAAAGCGUUCGUAGCCUGCCAGACAGGUCCGUCGGGAAAUCUGCACGCCCAACGUGCAGGCGUCCGGCGGAAACCAGCUGGCUUGGGGCCGGAAGACCCAGGGGGUACGUCCGGGGUAGGAGUGAAAUCCUGUAAUCCCGGACGGACCGCCGGUGGCGAAAGCGCCCUGGGAGGACGGACCCGACGGUGAGGGACGAAAGCUAGGGUCACGAACCGGAUUAGAUACCCGGGUAGUCCUAGCCGUAAACGAUGCCCGCUAGGUGUGGCGCAGGCUACGAGCCUGCGCUGUGCCACAGCGAAGGCGCUAAGCGGGCCGCCUGGGAAGUACGCCUGCAAGGAUGAAACUUAA